This 72-nucleotide transfer RNA is filed under the name Deltaproteobacteria bacterium. Its description in RNAcentral is "tRNA-Asn". It matches the Rfam family "tRNA". From Rfam's summary of the family: Transfer RNA (tRNA) molecules are approximately 80 nucleotides in length. Lineage: Bacteria; Pseudomonadati; Myxococcota; Myxococcia. The record is from RNAcentral.
UCCGGGGUAGCUCAGCGGCAGAGUAGGUGACUGUUAAUCACUUGGUCGCGGGUUCGAAUCCCGCCCCCGGAG